UAAGUCCAGAUAUUUUCUUUCUUAAUAUCAAUUUAACAUAUAUUGUUAAGAGAAAGAUAUAAAGAGAGAGAGAGAAAGAGAGAGAGAAAAAGAGAGAGAGAAAGAGUGAAAGAAAUAGAGAGAUAUAUACAGUAAACCAUGUGACAAAGCUAGCUCUUCUUCUUCUUUUUGUUUUUUUUUUUUUCUUUAUCUCGCGUCUAUUUACUAAUAAUGUAUAUAUAUAUAUAUAUAUAUAUAUACAUAUAUAUAUAUGUGUAUAUGUAUAUAUAAAUUAACAAUUAAGAAUCUUUAGAGUCGUUCGAGUUGUGUGGGCCCCCCGUUAAAAAGAACAAGUAUAGUAAAUAAUGAUAAUAAAAGGAAGAAAAGAAAAAGAAAAGAAAAAGAAAAAACCUAUAAAAAAAAAUUAAAAAAAAAAAAAAAAAAAAAGAAAAAAAAAGAAAAGAAAAAAGAGGAUAAAAAGAGAAAGAAAAGAGUGAUAAUAAACGCGAGCAAAGCAUAAGUUCAAAUAGAGUGAGGCGUGGAAUGGGGAUGGGUUAGAGGGGGAGGUGAAAAAAAAUAACAAAAAAUAAAUAAAAGAAAUAAGAGAGAGAGAGAGAGAAGAGAGAGAGAAAGAAAUGCGAACGAUGAUGAAUGAUGAUGAUGAAAACACAACUACUGGUGGGGCAUAUACGUCUCGUCCGACGCUACAACGUAUGAUUAUUAUUACCAUUAUUAUUAUUAUUAUUAUUAUUAUUAUUAUUAUUAUUAUUAUUAUUAUUAUUAUUAUAAAUAACAAUAAUAGUAAUGAUAAUUACAAUAAUAAUAAUAAUUAUUAUUAUUAUUAUUAUUAUCAUUGUGUAUCAUUAUCAUUAUUAUUACUAUUAUCGUUAUUAUUAUUAUUAUUAUUGUUAUUAUAGUUAAUAACUGUGCGUCGUAAUUAAUUUUUUAAACGGGUAUUGACGAUCGACGGUAGACGAUGGAUGGAUUCGAUUCGAAUCGAAUAAGAGAGGAAAAGCAGAUCGAUUAAGAGAAGAGAUUUUUCUUUUUCUUUUUCUCUUUUGUUUCUCUUUUUUCUUUCCUUUUUUUUUUUCUUUUUCUUUUUAUUUUUCUUUUUUUUUUUUUUCUUUUUCUGUUCCCCUUUUCUACCAAUGAACUACUAAAAUGACAAAGAAGGGAAGACUAAACUCUGUUAUACAGUGUUGUAAUGAGAUACAAAAGAAAUUUUAGGAAGAUAGAGAAAGGCAAAUUAAUAACGGAGUUUGUGUGUGUGUGUGUGUGUGUGUGUGUGUGUGUGUGUGUGUGUGUAAUAGGAGGUAAGUGUUUUAAGGUGUUUUAAGGGAGGAAAUAGAAGUAGGAAAAUAAAAACGAAGAAAAGAAAGUGAAAGAAAAGAAAUGGUGAACGUAAUUAAUCAAUUGCCCGCGCACACGGAGAAAAAGGCUAAAGGAAAAGUAAAAGGGUAGAGGAGGGAGGAGGGGAGAAAAAAAAAAGAAAGAAAGAAAUUAAAGAAAAUCAUAAAGAUAAAGAAAAACAAGGGAAAAAUCAUGAUCGACGUUAAAAGGUAGGCUGUGUUUGUGCGAGUUUAUAAGAGAAGACAAAAAAGAAAGGAAAGAGAGAGAGAGAGAGAGAGAGAGAGACAGAGAGAGAGAGAGAGAAAUAGGAUCUAGAGAGAAAUAUCUUAGAAAUCGUUGUAGGAACUCCUUUCUAACUUUAAGCCUUCGAUCGGUGAAGGAAAUUUAAACGAAAAACAAAAAAAAAUAAAACAAAUAAAUAACUAAAUAAAUAAAUAAAUAAAUAAUAAGAAAAAAAAGAAGAAGAAGAAGAAGACAAAAGUCAAGAUGAUAAAGUAAAUCAUAUUGUAAUUAAUUAACGCGUAAUUGUUGAAUGACAAUCACUCGAUUUUCUCUGUAUCGACUAUCGACGAAAAAAAAAGAAAAAAAAAAAAAAAAAAAAAAAGAAAGAAAAACAAGAAAAAAGCGCGUGUAACAUAUUUAACUUAAAUGCCCUUCGAAGCUGCCCUACGAGUUAUUUCAUCUUAUUAUUAUCUUUGUUUUUUUCUUUUCUCUAAUAAGGUUUUUUUUUUUCAUUUCGAAUGGCGUAAAAAACAUUUUUGAGUUGUUAACGAAAGAAAGAAAGGGAGAAAAAAAAAACAAGGCAGAAAGAAAGAAAAAGAAAGAUAUAGAAAGAUUGACAGAGAAAGAGAGAGAGAGAGAGAGAGAGAGGGUGGACCGUGCGUAUGUGUAUUUGUGCGUGCCGUGUCUCUGUGUCUCCAGAUUAUCGCGUUAGUUCUCUCACGUUGAUUUUUUAAUUUUUUAUUAUCGUCGUAUAUAUAUAUAUAUAUAUAUAUAUAAAAAUUUUAUUUCUUCUUCAUAAAAGAUAAACGAUUAAAUCGAUUAUAUAUAUAUUUCGUUACUUAUCUUCCAAUAUUGAUCUUCCGAUCGUAAAACACUUACAAGCGUAAAUUAAAGAAUGAAUUUACGAAGAACGAACGAGAGAGAGAGAGAGAAAAAGAAAAAAAGAGAGUGAAUGUAGUGUAUGUCCAUCAUAUGUCUGUUCUUCAUGUGUAUGAAUGAACGUGAGAAAGGGAAAGUAAGAUUGAGAAUGAAAAUGAACGUAAGAGAGAAAGAGAGAGAGAGAGAGAGAGAGAGAGAGAGAGAGAAAGAGAAAAGAAAAGAACCAAUCAAUGGCCAGGAAUUGCGUUGCAAGUCACAAUCAGCUCGUCUCCGACAAAGAUAAUAAACUUUUUUUUUUCUUUGUCAAUAGGAAAGAAAAAAAGAAAAAAAAAAAAAAAGAAACAACUAAAGAGAAUAACAUAAAAUUGUCAGAGCGGGCGUUUAUAUUAUGGUUAAGUCCUUUUUCUAUGUAAGUUCGAUUAGAAGAGAGACAGGAAAUAAUUUUAAUCGAGGUACGCGCGCGCGAUUAGAAGAGAGGAGGCAGUUUAGGAUUAUGAGAGGAAAGAAAGAUAAAAAAGAAAAAAAAAAAAGAGAGAGAAAGAAGAAAAGAAAAGAUAAGAAAUAGAUAGAAAGGUAGAAAGACACGCAGGAUAAAUAAUAGAAAAUUUACAAGUUCUCUUCGUGAAACGUCGAACGUCGUGAAAGAAAAGAAAAGGAAAUAGAGAGAAAAGAAAAGAAAAAAAAAAAAAAAGAAAGAAAAGAAAAAUAACGAAGAAACAAACGUAAAUCAUAAUCGACUUGAUAGAUAUUUCGAUCUUCCAUUAAUUAAUUGCACCGGGUACGCGCGCCGUGUUUGCUAUGGGUUUGGUAUCAAAAGAAAAAAAAAAAAA
Molecule: long non-coding RNA, 3260 nt
Organism: Vespa mandarinia (Asian giant hornet)
Lineage: Eukaryota; Metazoa; Arthropoda; Insecta; Hymenoptera; Vespidae
Source: RefSeq, a predicted model, not a curated record